RNAcentral lists this transfer RNA (73 nucleotides) under Caudoviricetes sp. Its description in RNAcentral is "tRNA-Lys". It matches the Rfam family "tRNA". From Rfam's summary of the family: Transfer RNA (tRNA) molecules are approximately 80 nucleotides in length. Their secondary structure includes four short double-helical elements and three loops (D, anti-codon, and T loops). Further hydrogen bonds mediate the characteristic L-shaped molecular structure. tRNAs have two regions of fundamental functional importance: the anti-codon, which is responsible for specific mRNA codon recognition, and the 3' end, to which the tRNAs corresponding amino acid is attached (by aminoacyl-tRNA synthetases). tRNAs cope with the degeneracy of the genetic code in two manners: having more than one tRNA (with a specific anti-codon) for a particular amino acid; and 'wobble' base-pairing, i.e. permitting non-standard base-pairing at the 3rd anti-codon position. The record is from RNAcentral. Lineage: Duplodnaviria; Heunggongvirae; Uroviricota; Caudoviricetes.
GCGCCAAUAGCUCAGUUGGUAGAGCACCGCCCUUUUAAGGCGGGGGUCGCGGGUUCGAGCCCCACUUGGCGCA